UACGGAGGGGGCUAGCGUUGUUCGGAAUUACUGGGCGUAAAGCGCGCGUAGGCGGACCUGCAAGUCGGGGGUGAAAGCCCGAGGCUCAACCUCGGAACUGCCUUCGAUACUGGUAGUCUCGAGUCCGGAAGAGGUGAGUGGAAUUCCGAGUGUAGAGGUGAAAUUCGUAGAUAUUCGGAGGAACACCAGUGGCGAAGGCGGCUCACUGGUCCGGUACUGACGCUGAGGUGCGAAAGCGUGGGGAGCAAACAGG
This 253-nucleotide ribosomal RNA is filed under the name uncultured bacterium. RNAcentral describes it as "partial 16S ribosomal RNA". It matches the Rfam family "Bacterial small subunit ribosomal RNA", at positions 524 to 776 of the family's 1533-position model. The record is from RNAcentral.